GCCAACCAUAUUGCUUUAUUUUGCUCACAUGAUAAUACUGGAUACCUGAUGAAGUAUAUUGAUUCAGUCCUAGGACUGGAUUCAAAUGAAUUAACUAGUGAUUUAUUCAAUCUCGUUCCCCGAGCCUGCGAUCCUUGGGAAGGAAACGAAGGCUCUGGGAUAAUCCGUUUCAGGGAGGAUUCUGAUUGGCCGUUGAAAUGGAAUGUGUAGUUCAAUCUUAGCCACAAUUCCUGGCUUCCGGCAACGGAUUAUCCCAGAGCCUCGCGUUCCUUCCCGAGGAUCGCAGGCUCGGGGAACGAGAUUGUGAUUUAUUCGUACGAGAUGUCAUUUCAAAUCCUCCAAUUCCGACUGGACUAGAUUUCGGGUCCUCGCAUUUUGAUCC
Molecule: non-coding RNA, 382 nt
Organism: Paramuricea clavata
Lineage: Eukaryota; Metazoa; Cnidaria; Anthozoa; Malacalcyonacea; Plexauridae
Source: the annotation of a GenBank genome assembly